CAGUCGCCGCGGUAAUACGUAGGUGGCAAGCGUUGUCCGGAAUUAUUGGGCGUAAAGGGCUCGCAGGCGGUUUCUUAAGUCUGAUGUGAAAGCCCCCGGCUCAACCGGGGAGGGUCAUUGGAAACUGGGAAACUUGAGUGCAGAAGAGGAGAGUGGAAUUCCACGUGUAGCGGUGAAAUGCGUAGAGAUGUGGAGGAACACCAGCGGCGAAGGCGACUCUCUGGUCUGUAACUGACGCUGAGGAGCGAAAGCGUGGGGAGCGAACAGGAUUAGAUACCCGCGUAGUCCCUGUCUCUUAUAA
RNAcentral lists this ribosomal RNA (301 nucleotides) under uncultured bacterium. Its description in RNAcentral is "partial 16S ribosomal RNA". It matches the Rfam family "Bacterial small subunit ribosomal RNA", at positions 509 to 809 of the family's 1533-position model. The record is from RNAcentral.